GCACGGAUGGCCGAGUUGGUCUAAGGCGUUGGUCUCAAGUUCCAAUCUCGUAAGAGGCGCGAGUUCGAAUCUCGCUUCGUGCA
Non-coding RNA from Fimicolochytrium jonesii, 83 nucleotides. Lineage: Eukaryota; Fungi; Chytridiomycota; Chytridiomycetes; Spizellomycetales; Powellomycetaceae. The record is from the annotation of a RefSeq genome assembly.